GAGGAUUUGAACAGGGGCCUCCCCCCUCUUUUCUCCCCAACAGGCAGAGAGGGGAAUUGAACCUGGAUCUCCUUCAUUCCAGAAAUUCUGGAUCUGUCAAUCCUAAUCAUGACUUCCACGUAUGCUGGAGCCAGAGUUUUCAGCUGCUGGCUGGCUCAUGGCUAUGGCACUGACUCCAACAGGAACUGAGAAUGACCACGAACCUCCGCAACUUCCAAGACAGGACAGAUGGCCACUAUUUACCUGUCUCCAAUGCAAAUGAAGCAUAGUGGAAUCAAAACAAUGGAAUCUCUAUUUACAUAGAAAUCAACAACGGGAUAGGAAGUUCACAGGAAAGGAACAACAGCAUGAGGUCAUCCUGUCUCUUGAAACAAAGUAAUUUAACUUUGGAAGAUAUAAGGAAAGACAGAAAACAUAUUUGACAUUCAUCACUAGACAGACAAGAAAACUCAAGCUCUUCCAAGCUGACAAAGAUGAGUCCUUAAACUAAGGGGACUGAUGUAGUCUCUGGAAACUGAAUAUAGGUGAGAAACUCACUUAGGCAAAAGUCUUUCACCUAGGAAGACAAGGAAAGCCAGCUCUUUAUACUUCUGUGAACGGUCCUGAGGGAAACA
Mauremys reevesii (Reeves's turtle) is the source of this 614-nucleotide long non-coding RNA. RefSeq lists it as uncharacterized. The transcript has 3 exons. Lineage: Eukaryota; Metazoa; Chordata; Testudines; Geoemydidae. The record is from RefSeq and is a predicted model, not a curated record.